This 241-nucleotide long non-coding RNA is filed under the name Elaeis guineensis (African oil palm). Its description in RNAcentral is "long non-coding RNA (EGUI_LNC036514)". The record is from RNAcentral. Lineage: Eukaryota; Viridiplantae; Streptophyta; Magnoliopsida; Arecales; Arecaceae.
GUGUCUCAAUCUAAUAAAUCCUGUGACUGCUCAUAAGGAUUGUUCUGAUCAAGAUCUUACUAAAUUGAAAUACAUUAAAGCAUUAUCUCCAAUACCUUGGGGUGGUCAAUAUCAUCUUAACUCAUACACUGACUUUACAAAUACUUGACUGUGCUAAAAAAUUUUUCAUCACUAAAUUAAAAAUUCAGGUAGUCUGGCACCAAUACACAAUGAGUUGCUUGUAAGUCAUCAUGGUGAUCUC